Brassica napus (rape) is the source of this 1278-nucleotide long non-coding RNA. RefSeq lists it as uncharacterized. The record is from RefSeq and is a predicted model, not a curated record. The transcript has 2 exons. NCBI's taxonomy places the organism in Eukaryota, Viridiplantae, Streptophyta, Magnoliopsida, Brassicales, Brassicaceae.
UUUAUAUUUAAGUGAAUUAGAAGCUUAUUUGAUGACCAAAGAAAAAGAAUUAACAUUAAAUCUAAUAUUUUCAAAAUUAAACACAAAUCUUAAACUGAAAUUUAAAGUUUAAUAUUUCUUAUAAUUUAGUUCCAAACUUAAAUUUAUACUUCAAACACUAUAUUCCAAACCAUACCCUAUAACCAUAAACCUUAUACCUCAAAUCAUAAAUUUCAAACACCAAAUUUAACAUUUUCAAAUUUAAUCACCAAAAGUUAAACAUAAACUACUAAUCUAAAAUUUUUAAAAAGUUAUUCCCAAAUUUUACUCUAAACCCCCAAACUAAUUCUCCAAAUUAACCUUAUAUAAAAAAAAUUAACUUUAUAUCAUAAAACACUAAUUAAAUAACUUUAUAAAAUUAUAUUAAAUCAAGUUGUGUUAUUAUUAACCCAAACCUAAACCCAUAUUCUAAAUUUAGGACUUUUCAAGUUUAUAUUUUAAAUUAGUUUUAAAAAAAUUUAAACUCAUGCUAAAAUCUAUACCUCAUUACCUAUUUUCUUUAUUCCAAAUCUUCAAUCAUAAAUAUCUUUCAACUUUAAACUUUUAAUUAUCAAACCCAAAUUCUAAUAUAUUUUAGUUGCAAUUCUAUCGAAUCAUAAACAACAAAACCAUUAAUAUAAUCCUAAACUAUGAAAUCUAAUAGUUUCUAUUAAAGAAAUAGAAUGCUUAAUUCUUAUUGGUCCAUCUUGGAAUGGUGUGGAUCACCAUUAUCUAAUCCUAACCAUCGAUAAUAUUUGAUCCAACAGAUCAGAUUGAUUUGGUUUUGUUUAACUCUUUCUUCACUUCUCCCCUCACAAACUCCAUCGUCACCUCAUCUCAUCUACAUCUCUAUUCCACUUCACGAGCUACUUUUUCUUCUGUUCUUCUUCUCACGAACUCCGUCGCCACCCUCCACCUCGUCACCUUCUUGUCUCCUCCUCAUCACCUCCACUCCUCGUCUCCUCCUGUAAGAAGAUGAUAUGGUGGUUGUUGGAUUUGCUGGAAGUAGAGUAGAAGACCACCACUAUUUGUGGCAGAUGUGGUGGUCGUUGGAUUCACGUCACACGGGUUGAGGCUGGAAGAGGAAGAAGAAGAUCUGUGAGAUCCGGUGAGGUCGAGGAGGCGGCUUCAAGCUUGAAGAUUAGGUUUAGUUUUUUUUUUCUGGGUUUAUUUUUUUUUUAAAUUCUGGUUUAGUCUGUAAACCGGAUUUUAAUUGUAAACCGAACUUUAAUUUAUAUUAAAAAUAUUUUAUUUUAAUUA